This 253-nucleotide ribosomal RNA is filed under the name uncultured bacterium. RNAcentral's name for it is "partial 16S ribosomal RNA". It matches the Rfam family "Bacterial small subunit ribosomal RNA", at positions 524 to 776 of the family's 1533-position model. The record is from RNAcentral.
UACGUAGGGGGCUAGCGUUGUCCGGAAUCAUUGGGCGUAAAGAGCGUGUAGGCGGCCCGGUAAGUCCGCUGUGAAAGUCGGGGGCUCAACCCUCGAAUGCCGGUGGAUACUGUCGGACUAGAGUACAGAAGGGGCAACUGGAAUUCUCGGUGUAGCGGUGAAAUGCGUAGAUAUCGAGAGGAACACCUGCGGCGAAGGCGGGUUGCUGGGCUGAUACUGACGCUGAGGCGCGAAAGCCAGGGGAGCGAACGGG